RNAcentral lists this non-coding RNA (29 nucleotides) under Rattus norvegicus (Norway rat). The record is from RNAcentral. Lineage: Eukaryota; Metazoa; Chordata; Mammalia; Rodentia; Muridae.
UCAGGCGACGUCUUGAAAAACAUGAGCAU